RNAcentral lists this small RNA (76 nucleotides) under Flavobacterium aquicola. RNAcentral's name for it is "Flavo-1 RNA". It matches the Rfam family "Flavo-1 RNA". The record is from RNAcentral. Lineage: Bacteria; Pseudomonadati; Bacteroidota; Flavobacteriia; Flavobacteriales; Flavobacteriaceae.
CACUAGCCCAGAUGGAAACGGCAUCCUCUGGUGGCGGGGUUCGCCACUAGAGAUAUAGUGGACAGCUGGAUCAGCU